ACACAAUGUGUUGUUGGGUAGGGGAGCGUUCUGUAAGCCUGCGAAGGUGUACUGUGAGGUAUGCUGGAGGUAUCAGAAGUGCGAAUGCUGACAUAAGUAACGAUAAUGCGGGUGAAAAACCCGCACGCCGGAAGACCAAGGGUUCCUGUCCAACGUUAAUCGGGGCAGGGUGAGUCGACCCCUAAGGCGAGGCUGAAAAGCGUAGUCGAUGGGAAACGGGUUAAUAUUCCCGUACUGGUGGUAACUGCGAUGGGGGAACGGAGAAGGCUAGGUUGUCCGGGCGACGGUCGUCCCGGUUCAAGCAGGUAGGCAGAGUGAUUAGGCAAAUCCGGUCACUUAAUGCUGAGAUGUGAUGACGAACCACCAAGGUGGUGAAGCAAUUGAUGCCCCGCUUCCAGGAAAAGCCUCUAAGCUUCAGGUUACCAACAAUCGUACCCCAAACCGACACAGGUGGUCAGGUAGAGAAUACUCAGGCGCUUGAGAGAACUCGGGUGAAGGAACUAGGCAAAAUGGUGCCGUAACUUCGGGAGAAGGCACGCUGGCGGUAGGUAAAGUCCCUCGCGGACGGCGCUGAAGCCAGUCGAAGAUACCAGCUGGCUGCAACUGUUUAUUAAAAACACAGCACUGUGCAAACACGAAAGUGGACGUAUACGGUGUGACGCCUGCCCGGUGCUGGAAGGUUAAUUGAUGGGGUUAGCGCAAGCGAAGCUCCUGAUCGAAGCCCCAGUAAACGGCGGCCGUAACUAUAACGGUCCUAAGGUAGCGAAAUUCCUUGUCGGGUAAGUUCCGACCUGCACGAAUGGCGUAAUGAUGGCCAGGCUGUCUCCACCCGAGACUCAGUGAAAUUGAACUCGCUGUGAAGAUGCAGUGUACCCGCGGCAAGACGGAAAGACCCCGUGAACCUUUACUAUAGCUUGACACUGAACAUUGAGCCUUGAUGUGUAGGAUAGGUGGGAGGCUUUGAAGUGUGGACGCCAGUCUGCAUGGAGCCAACCUUGAAAUACCACCCUUUAACGUUUGAUGUUCUAACCUAGGCCCGUGAUCCGGGUCGGGGACCGUGUCUGGUGGGUAGUUUGACUGGGGCGGUCUCCUCCUAAAGAGUAACGGAGGAGCACGAAGGUUGGCUAAGCAUGGUCGGACAUCAUGCGGUUAGUGCAAAGGCAUAAGCCAGCUUGACUGCGAGAGUGACGGCUCGAGCAGGUACGAAAGUAGGUCUUAGUGAUCCGGUGGUUCUGAAUGGAAGGGCCAUCGCUCAACGGAUAAAAGGUACUCCGGGGAUAACAGGCUGAUACCGCCCAAGAGUUCAUAUCGACGGCGGUGUUUGGCACCUCGAUGUCGGCUCAUCACAUCCUGGGGCUGAAGUAGGUCCCAAGGGUAUGGCUGUUCGCCAUUUAAAGUGGUACGCGAGCUGGGUUUAGAACGUCGUGAGACAGUUCGGUCCCUAUCUGCCGUGGGCGUUGGAAGAUUGAGAGGGGUUGCUCCUAGUACGAGAGGACCGGAGUGAACGCACCACUGGUGUUCGGGUUGUCAUGCCAAUGGCAUUGCCCGGUAGCUAAGUGCGGAAGAGAUAACCGCUGAAAGCAUCUAAGCGGGAAACUUGCCUCGAGAUGAGUCUUCCCUGUCGCUUAAAG
Molecule: ribosomal RNA, 1631 nt
Filed under: Proteus mirabilis
Lineage: Bacteria; Pseudomonadati; Pseudomonadota; Gammaproteobacteria; Enterobacterales; Morganellaceae
Description: partial 23S ribosomal RNA
Rfam family: Bacterial large subunit ribosomal RNA
Source: RNAcentral